AAAAAGACAAACCAUGGAUUUUCGUGUCCAACUUUGACUAUCCGUCUUAUAUGAAAUUUUUUUAUAAUUCGUAUUUUUAUUGUUGCUAGAUGAUAAAAUAUAAUUAAUAUUUUAUGUGUGACUUGUCCUUUUAAUCUUUUUUAUAAUUUUUUCAAAUAAGACGGACGGUCAAACGUUAGGCACGGAAACCAGGGUU
This 196-nucleotide microRNA precursor is filed under the name Oryza rufipogon (brownbeard rice). Its description in RNAcentral is "MIR812 microRNA precursor family". It matches the Rfam family "MIR812 microRNA precursor family". Lineage: Eukaryota; Viridiplantae; Streptophyta; Magnoliopsida; Poales; Poaceae. The record is from Rfam by way of RNAcentral.